This 460-nucleotide ribosomal RNA is filed under the name uncultured bacterium. RNAcentral's name for it is "partial 16S ribosomal RNA". It matches the Rfam family "Bacterial small subunit ribosomal RNA", at positions 338 to 795 of the family's 1533-position model. The record is from RNAcentral.
CCUACGGGAGGCAGCAGUGAGGAAUAUUGGUCAAUGGACGAGAGUCUGAACCAGCCAAGUAGCGUGAAGGAUGACUGCCCUAUGGGUUGUAAACUUCUUUUAUAAAGGAAUAAAACGAGGCACGUGUGCCUUUUUGCAUGUACUUUAUGAAUAAGGAUCGGCUAACUCCGUGCCAGCAGCCGCGGUAAUACGGAGGAUCCGAGCGUUAUCCGGAUUUAUUGGGUUUAAAGGGAGCGUAGAUGGGUUGGUAAGUCAGUUGUGAAAGUUUGCGGCUCAACCGUAAAAUUGCAAUUGAUACUGGCAGUCGUGAGUACAGUUGAGGUAGGCGGAAUUCGUGGUGUAGCGGUGAAAUGCUUAGAUAUCACGAAGAACCCCGAUUGCGAAGGCAGCUUACUAAACUGUGACUGACAUUGAUGCUCGAAAGUGUGGGUAUCAAACAGGAUUAGAUACCCGUGUAGUC